This is a long non-coding RNA of Cyprinodon variegatus (sheepshead minnow), 1166 nucleotides long. RefSeq lists it as uncharacterized. The transcript has 4 exons. NCBI's taxonomy places the organism in Eukaryota, Metazoa, Chordata, Actinopteri, Cyprinodontiformes, Cyprinodontidae. The record is from RefSeq and is a predicted model, not a curated record.
CGAAAGUUUUCAGUGUAAAGACGGAAAAGGACAACAGUCGGAUAGUUAGACGGAAAAAUGGUUAAGAUUUUUUCACAUGUUUCUGGGAACACCUUUGAUUCUCAUAACAAAAUAAUAAAAAGACUCAAGAAACGUGGCGCAAAAGAAGUAUCUGACCCAGGAGAGAGUGAUUACACAAUUGUCUUCUGCCCUAUCGUUAGUCGUUUCGAGACAGACAUUCGGUCAGCCUUAUCUGCUGUGCAAGGCAAUGGCAGUGUGAUUCUGGUGGCAAUGCAUCAUACCUACGACCCAGACUACAUUUUACCAGACAAAAGGAACUUGGACAACGGAGCCAUUCAACUCCUGGUAGAGUGUCUGUUUUUUGAGAACAAAGGACUUUUGAAAUGUUCUCGAAAUUCAAAGGCUAAGAAAUCUAUCUACAAAAAGCUGGGGCUUCCAACUAAGAAGAUGAUGCCAAUGAAAAUGUAGCACUAUUCAAACAGGGAUGCAUGAUUACUGGAUUGCAAGUGUUUGGUGCACAGCAAUAGCUUUUUUCUAGAUAUAAGGUACUUUAAAGGAUACCUUUGUAUUCUUUUGUGAAGGAAAUUAAAUAAGCUGGUUAACACAUGUAAAUAUUUGGGAUUUGGGUAUUUUGGAUUGAUGAUGCCCUCAAUUUAAAAACCUAUUUUGAAACUUUAUUUGAAGCUGUGUUUUUCAUUUUCUAAACAAGUUGUUUUUCUUUAAGCUGCUACAAAGUAGCUUGUUGGUGCAGCUUGUUUGUCUAUGUUGGAGUAUUUUCUUUUAUAUAUGAAUGCCACUUCAAAAUGUCUUAGGAGGCCUACCGUAUUUUCUGGACUAUAGAGCGCAGCUCACUAUAAGCAGCGCCCACAAAAUUAUUUUUAAAAACUGGAAAUGUACAUAUAUAAUCCAUACCUAGCUUUAAGCCUCUGAUAUCUACUGAACUGUCUCCCACCAAACCUAUAGGGGGAGCUCUACAUAUAGCCCCUGGAGUCGGGAGAAAAAAGAAUGCUAGCUCCUGUUAGCUCGCAGCUGUAAGAGCUUAUAUUGAAAGAUGGGGCUUCAUCGGAUCUUUAUUUCAGCUCUGCAGGACUAGAGUCUCUUCAUUGGUUUGGCAGCUUUAAUGAGGCCAAUAAAUGUCAAAAUUUCUGAAUUUCAGUAGCCUGAUA